GCUCAUGUGGUUUAGUGAUAUGAGCGUCCGCCUCGGAUGCGGUAGGCUGUAGGUUCGAACACCGUCCGAGUCAUACCAAAAACU
Non-coding RNA from Potamilus streckersoni, 84 nucleotides. The record is from the annotation of a GenBank genome assembly. NCBI's taxonomy places the organism in Eukaryota, Metazoa, Mollusca, Bivalvia, Unionida, Unionidae.